Molecule: ribosomal RNA, 451 nt
Filed under: uncultured bacterium
Lineage: Bacteria
Description: partial 16S ribosomal RNA
Rfam family: Bacterial small subunit ribosomal RNA
Source: RNAcentral
GAUGAACGCUGGCGGCGUGCCUAAUACAUGCAAGUCGAACGAGGUCUUCGGACCUAGUGGCGAACGGGUGAGUAACACGUUGGUACCUACCCCGAAGUGGGGAAUAACUGCCCGAAAGGGUGGCUAAUACCGCAUAAUACCGCAAGGUUAAAGCAGUAAUGCGCUUCGGGAGGGGCCUGCGUCCCAUUAGCUAGUUGGUAGGGUAAUGGCCUACCAAGGCGACGAUGGGUAGCUGGAUCGAGAGGUUGACCAGCCACACUGGGACUGAGAUACGGCCCAGACUCCUACGGGAGGCAGCAGUAAGGAAUCUUCCACAAUGGACGAAAGUCUGAUGGAGCAACGCCGCGUGCAGGAUGACGGCCUUCGGGUUGUAAACUGCUUUUAUACGGGAAGAUUAUGACGGUACCGUAUGAAUAAGGACCGGCUAACUACGUGCCAGCCGCCGCCGUAA